GAGGGUAAUCCGCAACCUCUAAAAAAUGCUAGUAUACCUUCAAGUAGAGGGGUAAUCCACACUCUACUAAGAAAGAACUAGCUCUGAUAUCUCAAGUUAGUGUAGUCUCGACAAACUGUCAUGGACACAAAAUACAGACUUGAAAUCUAACAAGAAGUUCAAGAAGAAGUCGCAGAACUACAUUAAACAGAUGAAUACAAGAACAACACCAAAAAGGUGAGCUAGAACUCCAAGAG
This 236-nucleotide long non-coding RNA is filed under the name Physcomitrium patens. Its description in RNAcentral is "long non-coding RNA (PPAT_LNC002502)". Lineage: Eukaryota; Viridiplantae; Streptophyta; Bryopsida; Funariales; Funariaceae. The record is from RNAcentral.